AUUGAACGCUGGCGGUAUGCUUAACACAUGCAAGUCGAACGGUAGCAGGUCUAGCUUGCUAGAUGCUGACGAGUGGCGGACGGGUGAGUAACGCGUAGGAAUCUGCCUUAUUGAGGGGGAUAACCUGGGGAAACUCAGGCUAAUACCGCAUAAGCCCCAAGGGGGAAAGGAUGGGAUCGAAAGACCAUACGCGAUAAGAUGAGCCUGCGUCGGAUUAGCUAGGUGGUGGGGUAAAGGCCUACCAAGGCGGGGAUCCGUAGCUGGUCUGAGAGGACGACCAGCCACACGGGGACUGAGACACGGCCCAGACUCCUACGGGAGGCAGCAGUGGGGAAUAUUGGACAAUGGGGGCAACCCUGAUCCAGCAAUACCGCGUGUGUGAAGAAGGCCUGCGGGUUGUAAAGCACUUUCAGUGGGGAGGAGAGACUUAUCGUUAAUAGCGGUGAGUUGAGACGUUACCCACAGAAGAAGCACCGGCUAACUCUGUGCCAGCAGCCGCGGUAA
This 504-nucleotide ribosomal RNA is filed under the name uncultured bacterium. RNAcentral's name for it is "partial 16S ribosomal RNA". It matches the Rfam family "Bacterial small subunit ribosomal RNA", at positions 29 to 523 of the family's 1533-position model. The record is from RNAcentral.